AUUAUUUUAUACAAUAUUACCUUGAACUCUUAACUUCGUAAUAUUAUUUAUAGUAAACACAAGUUUUCAACACUUAAUCGUAAUAUCUGAUCAAUUUCUAGAGUAGACCUCCUAAUAGAAUUAGUAUUAAUUAUAUAUAUAGACUUAAUUUUCACGCCACAAUAAGAAAAAAUACGAAAUAAAAAGCUAAAACUGACAAAAAUAGUUUAGAUAGCAGUUAUUUGCAUCACAUUUAACAGUAUUAAUGUUAGUUGGCACUAUUGUGAUUUUCUUAUUUAACUAAACGUUGGCAUGAUAUUUCCUGACCAAAUACAUAAAAAGUUGUAUAGAAAUUACUCAAGUGUUCUCAUAACAAUAACAAAUUUGUUUAUAAAAGUUUCUUAUGAAUUCUUAUAUAUUAUUAUACCAAAGACUGUACUGUUUAUUCCUUGUGCAUUUUGUGUGUACUUUAUUUCUCUGAUUCGAUAAUAACAAAGUGUCCACAGUGCAUGGAGGAUCAAACAUGGCUACGGGCAAUACACAAGGCGAGUAUUUACAUGUCAGCCAUGACAAACAAAGGAUGUCUCCACACCAUCAAGAUUGUCCAGACUGCAGCACAGUUAUGAAUACAGGAACAGUUGAUAAAACAUGAAGACUUCCAGCAUGGCACUGAUGGAGCAGGAAUAACUCCCGCUCCAUUAGUGCCAAAAACAGAGUUUGUUGAUGUCAGUGAAGAAUCGGAAACUAAUUAAAUAAUAUGCUGUGAAGAGGCAAACGGUUUCUUGAUGCUCUAUGUGGAUCAUGAAAUAAAGAGUGAGUGGGUUAUAGGACCCACCGUUGUACAAGGAGUGAGGAGUGACCAUCUGUGGAACUACUGAACAUUCAAAACCUGAUUCUGAACGAGUUCUGUAUAAUGAAAAUGAGGAGCGUAAUGUCUCUAAAUCUGAGCAUCGGAAAAGAAAAAUAUCAUGUGAUACAGUUUAUUCAUGUGAGGUAUGCAGUGAGACAUUCGAGUCCUACAAUACACUGGAAUGCCAUAUGUCAGUUCAUACUAAACAAGAAAUAUAUUUGUCUAAUGAAAAGCCAUACACUUGUUAUGUAUGUAAUAAAUGUUUUAACAGAAAAUCAACAUUGCAACAUCAUUUGUUUAUACAUACUGAUGAGAAGCCAUAUAGUUGUGAUGUAUGUAAUAAAUGUUUUAGGCAUAAAUCAUCAUUUUGACAGCAUUUGUUGUUACAUAUUGGUGAAAAACCAUAUAGUUGUGACCUAUGUAAUAAAUCUUUUAGCCAAAAAUCAAUUUUAACACUGCAUUUGCAGAUAUAUACUGGUGAUAAGCUGUAUAGUUGUGAUGUAAGUAGUAAAUGUUUUAGUCGAAAAGCAAGUUUAACACAGCAUUUGUUGAUACAAACUAGUGAUACAUACUGGUACAUACUGGUGAUAAACCACAUAGGUGUGAUGUAUGUAGUAAAUAUUUUAACAGAAAAUGAAUAUUGCAACAGCAUAUGUUGAUACAUACUGGUGAUAAGCCAUAUAGUUGUGAUGUAUGUAAUAAAUGUUUUACGCUAAAAUCAACAUGAUAAAAGCAUAUGUUGGUACUUUAGAUUAUACAGAUAGAGCAUCGAGCCUCGAGGACUUAUUGUCAGCAAAUGUUAAAUAAAUUUGAAUUUUUUUUUUUUGUUUUUAUUAUUAUUCUAAUUAGAACUGUAAGUGUUUAUACUUAAUUGAGCAGCUAUUGCUUACUGAAGAGGAGCAAAAAUUAUAAGACCAAAAACAGAACUGAUAAAGAAAUCUCUGAUAACUAGUGAGUAUCUUCAAUUUUAAACAUAAAUGUAAUUAUUAAUAUUUUUUAUUAAUAAUAUUCGCGCCAUUUUUAAGUGUUGCAAGUAUCCGAAAAAAAAAAUAUCCCUGCAAUUGAAUAAAAAUUUCCGAAAUUAA
Galleria mellonella (greater wax moth) is the source of this 1914-nucleotide long non-coding RNA. RefSeq lists it as uncharacterized. NCBI's taxonomy places the organism in Eukaryota, Metazoa, Arthropoda, Insecta, Lepidoptera, Pyralidae. The record is from RefSeq and is a predicted model, not a curated record. The transcript is spliced from 2 exons.